GACGAACGCUGGCGGCGUGCCUAAUACAUGCAAGUCGAGCGGACAGACGGGAGCUUGCUCCCUGAUGUUAGCGGCGGAGGGGUGAGUAACACGUGGGUAACCUGCCUGUAAGACUGGGAGAACUCCGGGAAACAGGGGCUAAUACCGGAUGGUUGUCUGAACCGCAUGGUUCGGACAUAAAAGGUGGCUUCGGCUACCACUUACAGAUGGACCCGCGGCGCAUUAGAUAGCUGGUGAGGGAACGGGUAACAAAGGCAACGAUGCGUAGCCGACCUGAGAGGGUGAUCGGCCACACUGGGACUGGGACACGGCCCAGAAUCCUACGGGAGGCAGAAGUAGGGAAUUUUCAGCAAUGGACGCAAGUCUGACGGAGCAACGACGCGUGAGUGAUGAAGGUUUUCGGAUCGUAAAGCUCUGUUGUUAGUGAAGAACAAGUGCCGUUCAAAUCGGGCGGCACAUUGACGGUACCUACCCAGAAAGCCACGGCUAACUACGUG
This 497-nucleotide ribosomal RNA is filed under the name uncultured bacterium. RNAcentral's name for it is "partial 16S ribosomal RNA". It matches the Rfam family "Bacterial small subunit ribosomal RNA", at positions 28 to 507 of the family's 1533-position model. The record is from RNAcentral.